CCGGCGGGGCGGAACGGGGCGGCACCCCGCGGGGGCACUGUCAGCGCAGCGUGCUCCGUGUGUUUGGAUAUAAACCAUACAUCAGGAGGGCUGGUCCUGCUGGAGUCUCCGCCAGACGCUAAGAAGCAGGGAAGGGUCCUCCUGAGAGAAAAGAGCUCCAGGCAGGCCUGGGAGCAGCCUGUCUCUAUCUAAAGGGAGGCUGUGGGAAGGAAGGGGACAGACUCGUUGUGACAGGACAAGGAGAAAGGGUUUCAAACUAAAAGAGGGGACAUUUAGGUUGGAUAUAUGGAAAAAAGUCUUGUGCAAAAAGAGUAGUGAAGCCCUGUCCCUGGAGAUGCCCAAGGUCAGGCGGAUGGGCUCUGGGCACCCAAUGGAGCUGUAGGUUGCAAUGUGUUGGCUUAAUCCAUAGAGUGGGGUAUAGUUUAACCUAAAUAGCUUGCUAUGGAAAGCUAGCUUAUUUUGGGAUAUUUUUAUGUAUCUAUAAUCUCUCUUUUAUAUGUCCUGGCCUUUAAAAGCCUACUGCUUGGUACCAUGAGGUCCUUCCAUUGGUGCGGAACAGGUAGAGGGGAAACUUUAGAACUUGAUAUGGAAUGUUCUGUAUUUGUAUAUAGAAUCAUAGAACAUCCCGAGUUGGAAGGGACCCACAAGGAUCAUCUGUUGUUGGUGUGGCUAAUCUUGUCUUUUAGGAGCAUCUUGAAAAUCAGCAUGUCUGUCUAGCCAGCUAAAAGGGAGACUGUUAAUUAACAAAACAUGCAUGAAUGGGAGAGGUGGUUGAGGUCUCAUGAGUGCUGCAGCCCUCUCUCCAAGCACAUAAAGGUACUAUAUCCAAAUGUAUUAUAAGGGAUGUGCCAUUGUUCUGUUGGGGUGCAUGGUGAGGGGUCUGGAGCACAAGUCUUAUAAGGAGAGGCUGAGGGAACUGGGAUGGUUCGGUCCAGAGAAGAGGAGGCUCAGGGGAGACCUCAUUGCUCCCUACAACUCCCUGAGUGGAGGUUGUGACGAAGUGGAGGUUGGCCUCUUCUUCCUCAUAACUAGCGAUAAGACUAAAGGGAAUGGCCUCAGGUUGUGCCAGGCAAGAUUGAGGUUGGAUAAUUAUAAAAAAUUCUUCUCUAACAGUGGUUAGGCACUGGAAUGGGCUGCCCAGGGAGCUGGUUGAGUCACUGUCCCUGGAGGCCUUCAAGAAACAUUUAGAUGUUGUACUGAGGGGAGACAUGGUUUAGUGGGAAAUACUGGUUGUGGGUGGGUGGGUGGACUGGAUGAUCUGAGGUCUUUUCCAACCUUGGUCAUUCUAUGAUUAGAUGGAAGGAUCCCCUUGUGCAUCUUGUGCUAUAUUAAAGAAUGCCUGCUUCUUAAUACCCCAUUGGUCUUAAGGAGUUUUAUUUGGACCAGGGUUGGUUUGGCAGCACCUUGAGUCCAACCCCUGGCUCCAUGCAGAACCACCUGAAAAUCAGGCCAUAUGUCUGAGGGUGGUGUCCAGGUACAUCUUGAACUCUGGCAGCUUGGGGCUGCUGUCUACUGCCCUAAGAGCCUGUUCCUCUCAGUGAAAAAAUCCUUCCCGAUACCCCACCUUAAUAGGAGCUGUAACAAUAUUGUUAAGUUUGCUCAUGUUCCUUGAUGGAUAGCUCUGAAGUUUGUUUGGAUAAUGGGAAGAGCUGUGUCUUUGUACCAAGUAGAUAAGGAGAAUUCUGCUUAGCCUUUGUACCAAGCAAAUAAGGAGAGUUCUGUUAAGUCUUUGUACCAAAUAAAUAAGGAUAAUUCUGCUUGGAAUCACUUAGUUGUGAAAGCAAGUGUUGAAUAUGUAUGUACCUCCAAGAAAACCUCAGCAUAUGUGGUGCAAGUAAUGUAUAUAAGCUGAAGAUCUUUUGUGCAAGGUAUGCAUGAUAGGUGGAGUGCACCCCCCAUGCAUUCAGCACUGAAAAUAGAGUGCCUGCUUUCUAACACUCCAACUUGAUUCUUAAAGAGUUUCAUAGCAGAUCGAUUUACAGCAUCAGUUUGGCACCGCAGAUGGGGUAAGCCUUGACAGUUCCUGAGUUCACAGAAUCUCAUCUGGCACUGAGGUAUUUUUGGGAGGACCUUGAUCCCCAGGCUAAAGAGCCCCGCAGACAGUACCACUGACUAGUCUUUUGACUGCAUGGUAGAGGAUGAUGCUCAGAAAAUAUACCAUGUGCCCGUUGCAGUUCUGGAGAAAUGAAAAGCUGCUCAAAAGGAGAAUACCAAUACCUUAGAGACCCCAUUACUAGAAAUGGAAAUGGGGGAUUUUCAUCAAAGGACAGAUUGAAAUGAAUAUGAAUGUUGUGCUCUGUCUGCCAGCCCCUCAGCAUGUGCAGUGGUAGAAGGAAGGGAAUCUUGCUUCCUCUUGAGCUGGAGCACCAUGAAUCUGGCAACUCUGCAGCCUCCUGAGACCAACAGCCUGCUCAGGAAGUGCUGAAUGUUACAAGCAAAUGCUUUGCAGGAGACUCAGGUUAAUGUUCAUUCCAGCAUACCUGUGAACCUCAGUACUUCAGAGGACAUGGCUUGAUCUGCUAUAGACUUACUCACAUGGAACAAAAAUUCCUGAAAAGUGGUUAUUAGCGCGAUUGGUCAAAACAUCAAUUUCUGAGCCCAAAUGCAUUUGAAAAGUAGGGACUACGGUAAUGUAGUGCCAGCUGUAAGUAGCAGUGGAUUUCUGCUGAAACUACUUCUGAGAAACAUGGAAGCUGCAUUGUACAAGCUCUUGUUGUGGUAAAACUGCUCCACUGAGGAGGGCAGGAGCUCUGAAAAUGUCUUGACAGCAGCUGGUCUAAACAAGAAGAUGUAAAUCCAGAAAUGCUGCUGCUGAAAUGGCUGAGGGGGCCUGCUGAAUUCAUCAGCGACUGCUUUCUGUGAUCUUUUGUCUGGCUCCUUUGGCUAAGCCCACUCUGAUGUGACCUCCUCUGCUGACUGUAAGGUCCUUCUGUAAACUGUUUCCUGAAAGAGAGCUAGAGCUCAGAGCCUGGGACUGGUACAUAGAGCUCUUUGAAAGGCACAGCUGGAGCAGGAGUGGUAACUACACCUACACCACAAGAUAUCAAGGGCUGUAAAAUAAACACCCUAUCCUAGGGUUUUCACUGUUCGACUGUAAACAGCUGUGUGUCUGUCCAGUGGGUCCCUGCUAAUGCAUGCCCUUCCAAAUGAGCAUUCCUUCUGGAAUGUGCCUGUGCAGUGUGGAAAGCCCAGGUCAGGACAGCUCGUUGUCUUACAGAGGCUUUACUCUGCCCUAUGGCUUCCUGAACCCAUCCAAAGCUCCACAGUGCAUCAAAGCUGUACUAUGUAGUAUUUUUUAACAGCAAAGCCUGCAAAGAAAAAGCCAUUGACACUUCCAUGAGCACAAACCUGCCGUACUAUAUUUGUUAGCAAUAUACAAAACCACAGAAUGUUCUUUCAGGUUGGUGCCCCGGUCAGCAUUUAUUUUCCUCUGUACUGCUCUGCCCAUACAAACCAUUUUAGAAUUUUACUUAUCUUAAACAAAAAUCAUCGUUCCAAAUUAAGGACCCGGAGUUCUCACUGCCAGAACAACCAAUCCGUCAGUCGCUUUUAAUAAUGCGAGCCUCUUUCAUGACUUUUCAGCUCUGAUGUUUGCAUGGUUUCAAAGCAGCACCUCCUGGCAGGCUGUGGUACUGCUUCUGAGGGCAGAGACCUUGUGUUUAUAUCCCACACAACAGCCCAGCGCAGUGACCUUCAGCAACAGCCCUUAUUGCUCAUCAUGCAAAAUGCCCCGUGAUGGACUCAAUUACUACAUCUUCCACCGGUGAAGGAAUAAAAAUGGGAAAUGUUUUUUGUUUUCUCUUUGUAUGAGCAAACAUAAGCACUCAGUGCUGUCACACAGAUCUCGUUCCCCCCCUUUUUUUAAUACUACAUGGGCUAUUUACAGUAAUAUCACUAGAAACAGUGUAGGACUUGAUCCAAAGGACUGAUGUCAGCAAACAGGAGAUGUUGGCUCCCAUCCCUCUAUACUGUAAUACGGACUUCAGUAGCUAUCUUUUCCUUCUGAUUUUACUCACUUCUAUGGCCCUGCAUACGUCUGACAGGCAGAAAAUUGAGGUGAGAAUGGUAAUUCAGGAUAUUUUCAGAAAACAUCAUUAGUUUAAAGUAUUACUAACUCUUUCAGUGUAUCUUAGUCCCUUAGCAUUGAAGCAAUGCCACUGUCUUCACGGACCAGCAAAAAUACCAUGAAGUGGAAGCAUCGCAGAAAAGCACUAAUGAAGAAAAUUAAGUAAGCUUCCUUAUUUGAUGUAUCUAUGCAUGGUUUAAUGCAGUGUUCUGCUGUAAGCGUUAGAAUCACCGUGAAACAGUCCAGCAAUUUGGAAUAACUUGAGGAAUCAGGCAUGAAGAACACCAGGCAACUUAUACAGGCUGAGAUAUGAUGUAAAUACAUCCUUACUAGAAAUAAAAACAGUGCAUAGAGAGCCUUUUCUAGAAGGAAGCAUGGAAAAGUGUCG
Gallus gallus (chicken) is the source of this 4454-nucleotide long non-coding RNA. The record is from Ensembl. Lineage: Eukaryota; Metazoa; Chordata; Aves; Galliformes; Phasianidae.